RNAcentral lists this long non-coding RNA (304 nucleotides) under Carica papaya (papaya). Its description in RNAcentral is "long non-coding RNA (CPAP_LNC003975)". The record is from RNAcentral. Lineage: Eukaryota; Viridiplantae; Streptophyta; Magnoliopsida; Brassicales; Caricaceae.
AUGUAAAUCAUUUAUUUAGUUUAGUCCAUUUAAUCUUUCAAUUUAUUUAGUUUAGAAAAAUGCUUAGAGUAUGUUAGUUUAAGAAAACCAUAAGUUGAAAUGCUUAGAAAUCUUGCGUAUGGGUGUUAAACCAUGAUUCAAGGGCAUUUAAUGUGAGUCAAAUUCUUGAAAAGUUGUGUAAUUACUUCAUUGUUAUGAAGUUUUGCAACAAAAAUGGACGAAUGGAAAAUAUAUUCACAAAAGCUCUUUUAUCCCAGAAAAUUACUUUAUACAGGAAGUAACUUGGCCUAUUCAAUUUUAAAUC